AAGCUUAAGACGAGAGGAAUAAGAUUAUACUAGUUUGGGGGCCAAAAACUGUCCAAAGGUAACCAAAAAUUAGUGGCAAAGUCACGGUCUGAGUUGAAGUUUCGUCGGUUUCGAAGUGGAUUCGAGCAUGCAAGGUCAAACCCGUGGCCUAGGGGUUAUGAGUAGUCAUCCUACACCUUCAAACUCGACCAAAUCAACAAGGUUGGGCCAGGUUUGGCAAGGAAAAUCCUACAACUUGCUGGAAAAC
Molecule: long non-coding RNA, 247 nt
Filed under: Malus domestica (apple)
Lineage: Eukaryota; Viridiplantae; Streptophyta; Magnoliopsida; Rosales; Rosaceae
Description: long non-coding RNA (MDOM_LNC010439)
Source: RNAcentral